RNAcentral lists this ribosomal RNA (490 nucleotides) under uncultured bacterium. RNAcentral describes it as "partial 16S ribosomal RNA". It matches the Rfam family "Bacterial small subunit ribosomal RNA", at positions 29 to 507 of the family's 1533-position model. The record is from RNAcentral.
AGUGAACGCUGGCGGCAGGCCUAAUACAUGCAAGUCGAACGGCAGCACAGUGGAGCUUGCUCCAUGGGUGGCGAGUGGCGGACGGGUGAGGAAUACAUGGGAAUCUGCCCAGUCGUGGGGGAUAACGUAGGGAAACUUACGCUAAUACCGCAUGCGCCCUUCGGGGGAAAGCCGGGGACCUUCAGGCCUGGCGCGAUUGGAUGAGCCCAUGUUCGAUUAGCUAGUUGGCGGGGUAAAGGCCCACCAAGGCGACGAUCGAUAGCUGGUCUGAGAGGAUGAUCAGCCACACUGGGACUGAGACACGGCCCAGGCUCCUGCGGGAGGCAGCAGUAGGGAAUAUUGGACAAUGGGCGCAAGCCUGAUCCAGCCAUGCCGCGUGAGUGAAGAAGGCCCUCGGGUUGUAAAGCUCUUUUGUCCGGGAAGAAAAGCAUCGGGCUAAUACCUCGGUGUUCUGACGGUACCGGAAGAAUAAGCACCGGCUAACUUCGUG